AUUGAACGCUGGCGGCAGGCCUAACACAUGCAAGUCGAACGGUAACAGGAAGCAGCUUGCUGCUUCGCUGACGAGUGGCGGACGGGUGAGUAAUGUCUGGGAAGCUGCCUGAUGGAGGGGGAUAACUACUGGAAACGGUAGCUAAUACCGCAUAAUGUCGCAAGACCAAAGAGGGGGACCUUCGGGCCUCUUGCCAUCGGAUGUGCCCAGAUGGGAUUAGCUUGUUGGUGGGGUAACGGCUCACCAAGGCGACGAUCCCUAGCUGGUCUGAGAGGAUGACCCGGCAAAAUGGGACUGAGGCACGGGCCAGACUCCUACGGGAGGCAGCAGUGGGGAAUAUUGCACAAUGGGCGCAAGCCUGAUGCAGCCAUGCCGCGUGUAUGAAGAAGGCCUUCGGGUUGUAAAGUACUUUCAGCGGGGAGGAAGGGAGUGAAGUUAAUACCUUGGCUCAUUGACGUUACCCGCAGAAGAAGCACCGGCUAACUCCGUG
This 490-nucleotide ribosomal RNA is filed under the name uncultured bacterium. RNAcentral describes it as "partial 16S ribosomal RNA". It matches the Rfam family "Bacterial small subunit ribosomal RNA", at positions 30 to 507 of the family's 1533-position model. The record is from RNAcentral.